GACGAACGCUGGCGGCGUGCUUAACACAUGCAAGUCGAACGGAAAGGCCCUGCUUUUGUGGGGUGCUCGAGUGGCGAACGGGUGAGUAACACGUGAGUAACCUGCCCUCGACUUUGGGAUAACUUCAGGAAACUGGGGCUAAUACCGGAUAGGAGCUCCUGCUGCAUGGUGGGGGUUGGAAAGUUUCGGCGGUUGGGGAUGGACUCGCGGCUUAUCAGCUUGUUGGUGGGGUAGUGGCUUACCAAGGCUUUGACGGGUAGCCGGCCUGAGAGGGUGACCGGCCACAUUGGGACUGAGAUACGGCCCAGACUCCUACGGGAGGCAGCAGUGGGGAAUAUUGCACAAUGGGCGGAAGCCUGAUGCAGCAACGCCGCGUGCGGGAUGACGGCCUUCGGGUUGUAAACCGCUUUCGCCUGUGACGAAGCGUGAGUGGCGGUAAUGGGUAAAGAAGCACCGGCUAACUACGUG
Molecule: ribosomal RNA, 468 nt
Filed under: uncultured bacterium
Lineage: Bacteria
Description: partial 16S ribosomal RNA
Rfam family: Bacterial small subunit ribosomal RNA
Source: RNAcentral